GGUGGCUUCUUCAAUCUCCAUGGCUUCCUCUUUGUUCUUUCCUUGGUUUAGAACGGACGAUGGGGUUUAGAUUCCCUCAUACAAUACUCAAAUCGUUAACACAAGAUUAGGAGAGCAUCGAACUUCGUCAGCGAGGAUUCUGAUCAAAUUUUAGCAGGGGUUUUGAAUAUGUUUUGAUGACUGCCCUUAAAGGUGCAACUUUCCAACAACUUAUAAUUAGAUGAUGAAGAAUGAUAAGUGUCAAAAGCUCUAUCAGGUACCACUAUUGCAGAAUUUGCAUGCAUCCUAUUCAAGCGUUUGUUACUCUAUGUCAGGAUUAAUCGGAGACUACUGAAGAGCAGCACGUAGUUAUCAGGUCAUGGGAAUCAAGUUAAAAAGACUUUGUGAAGAGAAUAGGUUGUGUGCGUGGGAUGCUGAUAGAGUGCAACAACAAAAUAAUAUUUGGGCUAUAAUAAUUUGAAGUGGACUAAUCUUAAAAUGGAGCCCAAAAGGAAAAAAUAUUAGCAGCCCAUGUAAUAAACGAAUGAGAACUUUUGGUGGGACGAAUUAUAUAUGAUAAAUAGGAGAUAUUCCUUGGAGCCGUGAUAGAAAAAUCGAAGAGACAGCAGCCGAUACAUUAGGAGGGAGGACGAAUUUCAGCAUUACUUCACACCUUUCAAAUCCGUUCGAUGAUAUCUAACCUAUUCGGAAUGACAACCGAAGCGGCACAGACUAUCAUGCGUGGCUAAGCCUCUCGUGACUUCUACCUGAAUGAACUUUUGCUUUGUUUUGCAUUGAACUUUGUUUACGGAUUUUUGUAACUGGUACAGCUUGACCACUUGUGUUGGAUUAUUGGUAAACGUUUCUUGUGUUU
RNAcentral lists this long non-coding RNA (853 nucleotides) under Helianthus annuus (common sunflower). RNAcentral describes it as "hypothetical non coding rna". The record is from RNAcentral. Lineage: Eukaryota; Viridiplantae; Streptophyta; Magnoliopsida; Asterales; Asteraceae.